GUUGGACUUUGAAAAGUUCAUCUCAUUCAAAACAAAACACCUUUCUCCUAAACCUACAUCUCAUUUUUCUCAUACCUCUCACCUCUUUCUCUCCCUCUCCGCCUCCUCUCAUAUCAUUUUAUUCUUCUUCUCAAGCUCUACCCUUCUCUCUUCUUCCAUCACUCUCCGUCCACAAAAACCCACAAUUUCUUCUUCUAGUCGAUCUUUUCUUGAGAUUCAUCAACACUGUGAAGAAUACAAAAAAGUAUUUCUCUGUUGGAUCAAGGUUUUUUUGUGAGAUUCAUCAAAAUUGUGAAGAAUACCAAAAAGGUAACAACUUUUCUUCUUCUCUCAGAUCUUUUCUUCUUCUACCAUAUGUAACAACUUUUCUUUGUAGUAUUUUUCUUCUGGAUGAAGGUUUUAAUGUGAGAUUCAUGAACACGGUCAAGAAAACCAAAAAGGUAUAAGCUUUUCUUCUUCUCUCUGAUCUUUUCUUUUAGAUGAAUGAAAUGUUGGAGAAGAUUGGCCAAAAUCAAGACUCUCAAGCACAAAACUUUGAACAAGAUUUCGUCUUUUUCGAUCCAGAAUUAAAAUGGUAUGUAAAGUUUCGAUUUUUACUCAACUUUUGGUUGUUUUCCUCUUUCUCAGUGAACAAAUUCAUCUUAUUUUAUUUUUGCUUUUAUCGGAAUAAAGUUUGCUUUGAUCUUAACUUUUUUUUGUUGAGAUGAAUGAAAUGCUAGAGAAGAUCGACCAGAGGCAAGGCUCUCAAGUACAAAACUUUGAACAAGAUUUCGUCUUUUUUUACAGAAUUAAAAUGAUGAAUGAAAUGUUGAAGAAGAUCGGCCAGAGGCAAGGCUCUCAAGCACAAAACUUUGAACAAGAUUUCGUCUUUUUUGGUCCAGAAUGAACAAUGGUUUGAUUUUUUAUUCACAAGACUGAAGGUAUUUUGUGAGCACUUUUCUACACAUUACUCUGUCUUUUUGGUUCUAGAAUGACAAUUUUUGAGCAUGAGGACGAAACAGGUCUAGAAGUUAUUGGAAGAUAGAGAAUGAGAAAAAGACACUUGAAGAUAGAGAAUGAGAGAAGGAGACGAGAAGACAAAGAAUGAGAAAAGGAAACGAAGAUGUAGUCAACAACAAAAAAUCAAUAAUUUUUGUACCAUGAAAAUGUUGGUAGCUUUAGAUUCAAAAGUUGAAGUGUGAAUCUUCAUAUCUUCUCUCUAUAAGGACGACGACAACACCUAAAUUUGAUUAAGGUUAU
Molecule: long non-coding RNA, 1239 nt
Organism: Vigna unguiculata (cowpea)
Lineage: Eukaryota; Viridiplantae; Streptophyta; Magnoliopsida; Fabales; Fabaceae
Source: RefSeq, a predicted model, not a curated record